RNAcentral lists this ribosomal RNA (321 nucleotides) under uncultured eukaryote. RNAcentral's name for it is "partial 18S ribosomal RNA". It matches the Rfam family "Eukaryotic small subunit ribosomal RNA", at positions 1470 to 1796 of the family's 1831-position model. The record is from RNAcentral.
CCCUUAGAUGUUCUGGGCCGCACGCGUGCUACACUGAGUGGAUCAGCGGGUCAGGUUGCGCGAAAGUGUUUCCUAAUCUUUAAAUCCGCUCGUGAUGGGGAUUGACGGUUGCAAUUUUCCGUCAUGAACGAGGAAUACCUUGUAAGCGCGGGUCAUCAUCCCGCGCUGAAUACGUCCCUGCCCUUUGUACACACCGCCCGUCGCUCCUACCGAUUGAGUGGUCCGGUGAGCUUUGGGAUCUGAGCGGAAAGAGCGUUUCGCUGUUUCUGCCCGGAAAACUCAGUCGAACCUUAUCAUUUAGAGGAAGGAGAAGUCGUAACA